AACCUCGCUGAUACCGGGGAUAUGGCGAACUUUACCUCUUAUAGCGAACCUAAAAUAAUCUUCAAUAUUAGUAAUACCAUAUAGAGUGAGAUAAUCAUAGUUGCAAUGAAUCAUGGGUAUAGUGUACCUUAGAUAUAAUGAACUAUGGCUAUAAUGAAUCAAGGCUAUAAUGAACCAUGGUUACAGUAAACCAUAGAUAUAAUGAACCAUGGCUAUAAAAAAUCAAGGCUAUAAUGAACCAUGGUUACAGUAAACCAUAGAUAUAAUGAACCAUGGAUAUAAUGAAUCAAGGCUAUAAUGAACCAUGGUUACAGUGAACCAUAGAUAUAAUGAACUAUGGCUAUAAUGAAUCAAGGCUAUAAUGAACCAUGGUUACAGUGAACCAUAGAUAUAAUGAACCAUGGCUAUAAUGAAUCAAGGCUAUAAUGAACCAUGGUUACAGUGAACCAUAGAUAUAAUGAACUAUGGCUAUAAUGAAUCAAGGCUAUAAUGAGCCAUGGUUACAGUGAACCAUAGAUAUAAUGAACUAUGGCUAUAAUGAAUCAAGGCUAUAAUGAACCAUGGUUACAGUGAACCAUAGAUAUAAUGAACCAUGGCUAUAAUGAACCAUGGUUACAGUGAACCAUAGAUAUAAUGAACUAUGGCUAUAAUGAAUCAAGGCUAUAAUGAACCAUGGUUACAGUAAACCAUAGAUAUAAUGAACCAUGGCUAUAAUGAAUCAAGGCUAUAAUGAACCAUGGUUACAGUGAACCAUAGAUAUAAUGAACUAUGGCUAUAAUGAAUCAAGGCUAUAAUGAACCAUGGUUACAGUAAACCAUAGAUAUAAUGAACUAUGGCUAUAAUGAAUCAAGGCUAUAAUGAACCAUGGUUACAGUGAACCAUAGAUAUAAUGAACUAUGGCUAUAAUGAAUCAAGGCUAUAAUGAGCCAUGGUUACAGUGAAUCAUAGCUAUAAUGAACUAUGGCUAUAAUGAAUCAAGGUUAUAAUGAGCCAUGGUUACAGUGAACCAUAGAUAUAAUGAACUAUGGCUAUAAUGAAUCAAGGCUAUAAUGAAACAUGGUUACAGUGAAUCAUAGCUAUAAUGAACUAUGGCUAUAAUAACCAUAGCUACAGUGAUUCAUAUAUAAUGAACCAUGGCUAUAAUGAACUAUGCCUACAGUGAAACCAUGGUUAUAGUAAACCAAAAGUCUAGUCUCAUUAAGGUUCGCUAUAGCGAGGCUUUACUGUAUUUCUAAAAUGAAGAAUUGAAGAAUUUAUGAACAUAACGAUAAGAUGGCUUAUCAAUUAUAUAGAAAUUAAUGUGCAGUGAGAUAUUGAGAUUGAAACUACUUUAUUUCAAUGUCCAUUAUAAGGUUAAAUACAUAAUAAAUAUAAAUAUGAAUAAAUAAGAUUAUAUAAUGAUAAAAUACAUGAGAGAGAGAGAGAGAGUGAAGUGAGAGAGAUAUGGACAUUUUAUGGAAAUUAUUUAAAACAAUGAUAGGUGUAAUUAAUUAGUACCUGUUUGUUGAGGAUUAAAUACCUUUUUGUAAAGUGAUGUUCACUAUAAUGUAAAACGAUUCAAUCAUUUUAUUUCAAAUACAAUAUAAAUAUUACAGGUAAACACACCGUAUAUUCAAACAUGCGUUAAGAAAUUGAUAUUCACAUUUUCGAGAUGUUAAGACCAUAUGUGACUAAUUUAUAUUCGUUUGUCAGGGAAUGAGACCUUUUUAAGAACUAAGGGCACAUUCGAUCAAGUUACAGGUCCUUAGUAAUUAAAAAUAAAAGAGUUAGACAAUCGUGAAUCCACCUUCUCCCAUUGUAAAGUUUGCUGACGCUAAUUUACAUUGGGAUUUAUUUGAGAAAGGUGUCUUCGAUGAUAUUAAUAUAUUUCGAGUUUAGGGGACAAUUGGCAAUUUGAAUAAAUGUAUUUCUGCAUGUAUGUCAGCACAAUUACACAAAAACAACAAUAUAAAAGGUGUAAAAGAAAAGAAUAAUUACAUAGCGAUAGUAUUUACUACCAGCUGGCAUCUCUCCACUGGAAGUCAUCAGUAAAACAUCAGUGGUCCUUCUGGUCGCAUGUUACUCUAAGAUUUGUCUUCGACAUUCGAAAUGAGAAAAAUAUAGCCACCUUAAUGCUGUUGUUCCUCCUAUCUCUCAGCAAUACGAUAUAGCCGCCAUGAUGCCCCUAUCAACUUCUGCGGGUUACAAAACGAUUGCACGAAUAAUCGGCAACUUUGGUCCGUUCCAGGUUCCAUGAGGAAAGAUAGAAGGCUGCACUAUACCUCCACAGCACUCUAGGUUACAAACUGUCGGGGUUUAUAAGAAUAAUGCUGUUGUUCCUCCUAUCUCUCAGCAAUACGAUAUAGCCGCCAUGAUGGCCCUAUCAACUUCCGAGGGUUACAAAACGAUUGCACGAAUAAUCGGCAACUUUGGUCCCUUCCAGGUUCCAUGAACAAAGAUAGAAGGCUGCACUAUACCUUCACAGUACUCUAAGUUACAAACUGUCGGGGUUUAUAAGAAUAAUGCUGUUGUUCAUCCUAUCUCUCAGCAAUACGAUAUAGCCGCCAUGAUGGCCCUACCAACUUCCGAGGGUUACAAAACGAUUGCACGAAUAAUCGGCAACUUUGGUCCCUUCCAGGUUCCAUGAACAAAGAUAGAAGGCUGCACUAUACCUUCACAGUACUCUAAGUUACAAACUGUCGGGGUUUAUAAGAAUAUGGUGUUGUUCCUCCUAUCUCUCAGCAAUACGAUAUAGCCGCCAUGAUGGCCCUAUCAACUUCCGAGGGUUACAAAACGAUUGCACGAAUAAUCGGCAACUUUGGUCCGUUCCAGGUUCCAUGAACAAAGAUAGAAGGCUGCACUAUACCUCCACAGCACUAUAAGUUACAAACUGUCGGGGUUUAUAAGAAUAUGGUGUUGUUCCUCCUAUCUCUCAGCAAUACGAUAUAGCCGCCAUGAUGGCCCUAUCAACUUCCGAGGGUUACAAAACGAUUGCACGAAUAAUCGGCAACUUUGGUCCGUUCCAGGUUCCAUGAACAAAGAUAGAAGGCUGCACUAUACCUGCCCAGUACUCUAAGCUACACACUGUCGGGGUUUAUAAGAAUAAUGCUGUUGUUCCUCCUAUCUCUCAGCAAUACGAUAUAGCCGCCAUGAUGGCCCUAUCAACUUCCGAGGGUUACAAAACGAUUGCACGAAUAAUUGGCAACUUUGGUCCCUUCCAGGUUCCAUGAACAAAGAUAGAAGGCUGCACAACACUCUAAGAUACACACUGUCGGGUUUUAUAAGAAUCAUUAUCCAAGAACAUUCAGAGACUUAUAAUGGGCUCUAGUUCGAAUCUUUUUCCUAGUUUACUCUUUAAAAGUGAGGGUCGGGGGACGAGGGAUAUUUACCAACGAUAUCCGACAGUCACAACCCGGGAUCGAAUUCCGUAUUGCACACUUCUUUUUCUGAAUAAAAAAUUUCUUCAAUGGCCAGCGCUUCAUGCAAAAGUCAAACCCAACAAGUUAGUGCAAGUAACCAAACUAUGACACACUUUUAAGUGCAAAACUCGAACUGCGCUUUCUCCAUGUGUAGGUAAGUGGCUGCACUUGUAGUAAAAGCAAUCGAUAACUUCUAUCCACCAGGAUUACCAUGGCCUGUACCACGUGUACUAAGGAUAUUAUUAAUAAGAAGAUUUUUUUUCGAAGUAUUUCUAUUGUCGCGUUGUACUAUUUUAGUACGAGAAGAAUAAAGAUUAUUUUUAGUAAUUAAUUUGAAAGUAAGGAGUUUUAGUAGAAGUUAAAAUAUACACUCAUGGACAAAACUUAAGGAAAUUUGUACCUUUUAGCAUGUAUAUCGGGAUUCAGAUAAUAAAUCUGAAAGAUAUUACAGUGACCUUUAUUGAAGACACACGAGAUAACCAAGUGUGAACAAAAUUUCCUUUGUCUCUUUCAAAAAAUAGACUAUCGGCUAGACUCUCUACUUCCUUAAGUUUUGUCCAUUAAGACGCUAUCUAGAGACUGCUACUAACGAUGCGGUCUGUGUGGUUACAGCGGCCGUUCAGGACACACCUCUUCCCUCCAAGACUAUACCUGUCCUCCCCGCUCCCUGAGACCUUAAUCUGUGGUACAAUCAACACACAGGUUGGCGUCUCGGGGCCUGGGAAUGGACUGCCAACGUCAGACCGGGAAGCCUUUGCUCGGCAUCCAUGCAUGUUCGGCGCAUUCUUUGGCUGGUUGCAGAAUGUUGGAAACGUAUUUGUUGCAUGCUGUAUAUAUAUGUGUUAAUUAUAAGCCAAUAAAACCCUAUCUAUAUACAAGAAAUGAAAUCAUUGAAGCACGAAAGUUUCUUUUAAACAUAAAACAAACCUCUACUAUCCUUACUGCGAUGAAAAAUAUAUUGGGAGGGUUUGGGUCAUCAGUGGUGAAACCACCCAGCGGUCUCCCCAAUAUAAUCUACCAGACCGCUUCUUUAGAGUUCUAAUACUAUAUUGUACGAUUCUGCUUAUAUAUGUUACACUACCCACUGCCAAGCCUUCUCAAUACAUUUUCAUUCCAAUAAGGAUAAUAGAGGUUUGUUUUAUCUAUAAAAGAAGCAUUCGUGCUUAAAUUCCUUCAUUUCUUGUACAUAUAUGUAUGUAAAGAGGAAUGUCUUCCUUUAUAUAUGCAUUAAAAUUAUGCAAAUUUAAAGGAAGUGAUGACUCUUUGAUAUAUAUGGUUAUCAUAUUGUCUCAACUUAUUGUUGUAUAUAUAUAAAUGCAUGUAUAUAUGUAAAUAUAUAGUAGAUUGUUGGGAAGUAUGCAUAUUGUAGAUGCAUGCUAGCUUGUUACAAAAUAUUGAAUAGGAAACAUAAAAAAAGGUAACAAGACUAAAUCAAUAGAUUGUUCGUGGUAAAAGCGUUGGUACCACGUAUAAUUUAUUAAUUUAGUCUUGUUAUAUUUUAUGUGUUUCUAAUCUAAUAUCCAAAUUGUACAUUAUUAAAUCGAUCGUAUGUAUAUUGUUGUGUUGUUGCAUGCUGUAUAUACUCGUAUGUAGCUAAGUUGUGAAGUUAUAUGUAUUGUAGCUGUGUGCUAGCAUGUUACGGAAUAUUGGAUAUGUAUUGUUGCAUGCUGCAUAUAUAACUGGAAGCAUAUAAGAGUAUUUAAAUAUGUAUAUUAACACAAAGCAAUAGCGCGCCAUCUAUACAUAUAAAAUGAAAGGAUUUAAAAGCACGAAUGUUUCUUUUAUACAUAAUACAAACUUCUACUGCCCUUACUGCGAUGAAAAAUAUAUUGGGAGGGCUUGGCUCAUCAGUGGUGAACCCUCCCAGCGGUUUCGCCAAUUUAAUCCACCAGACCGCUUCUCAGAACUCAUAUACUGUAUUGGACGAUUCUGCUUAUAUACGCAGCACUGAAGGAUGGAAUCUCAGAAAUGGUUUUCAAGAGAACUAUGGACAUAAGCUUAUAGGACAGGAAAAUUACAUUCAAAUAUUUGCAUCGAGCAAUGCUCUUCCGCAAACAAUAAAGACAAGGCCAGUUAGGCAUUAAAAUAUACAAGUAUCAGAGUCAUCAACAAUCAAUCAAUUCUGUCACCGUUUGCUUUUGUGAAUGGAAUAAAUACCCAAAUAGGGCCAUUUCUUAAAAGCAUCGGAGGUUCAGUGGUAGAAUGCUCGCCUGCCACGCGGGCGGCCCGGGUUCGAUUCCCGGCCGAUGCAUUUUAUUUUUUUUACAAAUUUUAAAACUCAUUUAUAUUAUUAUUAUUAUUAAAAUAUACAAGUAUCAGAGGCAUC
RNAcentral lists this Piwi-interacting RNA (5724 nucleotides) under Cordylochernes scorpioides. The stretch from base 5579 to 5649 matches the Rfam family "tRNA". The record is from RNAcentral. Lineage: Eukaryota; Metazoa; Arthropoda; Arachnida; Pseudoscorpiones; Chernetidae.